This 208-nucleotide long non-coding RNA is filed under the name Vigna radiata. RNAcentral describes it as "long non-coding RNA (VRAD_LNC007223)". The record is from RNAcentral. Lineage: Eukaryota; Viridiplantae; Streptophyta; Magnoliopsida; Fabales; Fabaceae.
AAAAAAAAUUUAUAAUAUAAAAACUUAGAAAGGUUAGCUCCCCUUACCUCUUCUCUAGACUUAGUUUCCUAUUCAGAAGUUGUUCUCCCGAAAAUCUUUCAGAACCUCUACUCUUCUAAAAUUUUCUUCCCAACUCUUUUCUUCUCUAUUUUUUUUUCAAGAUUUCUCACUUGAUUCUUCCUCUCUUUGUGCAGAAUAAACUCCCCUC